GUUAUAUAAUUUAAAAAAAAUAUUAACUUUGUAAGUUAAAUUUAAAUAAUUUUUAUAACU
Molecule: transfer RNA, 60 nt
Filed under: Microctonus brassicae
Lineage: Eukaryota; Metazoa; Arthropoda; Insecta; Hymenoptera; Braconidae
Source: RNAcentral